Molecule: ribosomal RNA, 501 nt
Filed under: uncultured bacterium
Lineage: Bacteria
Description: partial 16S ribosomal RNA
Rfam family: Bacterial small subunit ribosomal RNA
Source: RNAcentral
AUUGAACGCUGGCGGCAGGCUUAACACAUGCAAGUCGAGCGGAGAGAGGGUGCUUGCACCUUAGCUUAGCGGCGGACGGGUGAGUAAUGCUUAGGAAUCUGCCUAUUAGUGGGGGACAACAUUCCGAAAGGGAUGCUAAUACCGCAUACGCCCUACGGGGGAAAGCGGGGGAUCUUCGGACCUUGCGCUAAUAGAUGAGCCUAAGUCGGAUUAGCUAGUUGGUGGGGUAAAGGCCUACCAAGGCGACGAUCUGUAGCGGGUCGGAGAGGAUGAUCCGCCACACUGGGACUGAGACACGGCCCAGACUCCAACGGGAGGCAGCAGUGGGGAAUAUUGGACAAUGGGCGGAAGCCUGAUCCAGCCAUGCCGCGUGUGUGAAGAAGGCCUUUUGGUUGUAAAGCACUUUAAGCGAGGAGGAGGCUACUAGUAUUAAUACUACUGGAUAGUGGACGUUACUCGCAGAAUAAGCACCGGCUAACUCUGUGCCAGCCGCCGCGGUAA